This 94-nucleotide ribosomal RNA is filed under the name Loxocarpus argenteus. RNAcentral describes it as "partial 26S ribosomal RNA". It matches the Rfam family "Eukaryotic large subunit ribosomal RNA", at positions 1 to 92 of the family's 3401-position model. Lineage: Eukaryota; Viridiplantae; Streptophyta; Magnoliopsida; Lamiales; Gesneriaceae. The record is from RNAcentral.
UUGCGACCCCAGGUCAGGCGGGAUCACCCGCUGAGUUUAAGCAUAUCAAUAAGCGGAGGAAAAGAAACUCAGUAGGAUUCCCCUAGUACGGCGA